Molecule: long non-coding RNA, 332 nt
Filed under: Equus caballus (horse)
Lineage: Eukaryota; Metazoa; Chordata; Mammalia; Perissodactyla; Equidae
Description: lncRNA (ENSECAG00000043990.1)
Source: RNAcentral
CACAAAGAGAAAGACUUAUUGUCUCCAUUACCCUUGUUUUAUGCUUGGGAUGCUCUCAGUUGCUUGAAGGGUCCAGCCUAUGACCCUGAGACGGACAUUUUGACAUAAUGAAGGUGGCAGAGCAGAAGGAUGGAAAGUGCUUGGGUCCUCCAUGACAUUUCUGGGUCACGAAACUCACCUGGGGACCACCUACCUUCUUGGGUCCAGUGGGGAGACUCCUUCCUGAUCCGGGUGAAUUAUACUUCAUGGACAGCAAUUAAUCCACAAUAACAUCCCUGUCUUGUCUCUUGGGUUGUGAACGUGGGAAGCCAAGCCAGAGUGCAGUUCUGAAC